This is a non-coding RNA of Balaenoptera musculus (blue whale), 150 nucleotides long. NCBI's taxonomy places the organism in Eukaryota, Metazoa, Chordata, Mammalia, Artiodactyla, Balaenopteridae. The record is from Ensembl.
GGCCUCUCUCCCAUGGGGCUGGGUGUGUGUGUGUGAGUUGGGGGGACCUCUUCUCCUCAGCCCUUGGGCUGGAAGCCCAGAUCAGCCCUGGGGGAUCCCUGUCGGGGCUGCCAUGAGCUGGGCAGCCUUGUUUUCCUACCUCAGACAUUU